This is a long non-coding RNA of Maniola jurtina (meadow brown), 169 nucleotides long. RefSeq lists it as uncharacterized. The transcript is spliced from 4 exons. NCBI's taxonomy places the organism in Eukaryota, Metazoa, Arthropoda, Insecta, Lepidoptera, Nymphalidae. The record is from RefSeq and is a predicted model, not a curated record.
AUUAUUAAUAAUGCGCGAUUAUAUUAUAAGCUUGAGAUCUAUCGAGCGCACUUUGACUUUGCUCAGACUUAAGACGCUGUUAAAACGAGACAGCGCUAUAUCGCUGGUAUAAAUCUGUCUCGUUUUAACUGGAGCUUAAGUCUGAGGAAAGUCAAAGUGUGCUCAAAUA